UACGUAGGGGGCAAGCGUUGUCCGGAUUUAUUGGGCGUAAAGAGCGUGUAGGCGGCCAUACAGGUCCGUUGUGAAAACUGGAGGCUUAACCUCCAGACGUCGAUGGAAACCGUAUGGCUAGAGUCCGGAAGAGGAGAGUGGAAUUCCUGGUGUAGCGGUGAAAUGCGCAGAUAUCAGGAAGAACACCGAUGGCGAAGGCAGCUCUCUGGGACGGUACUGACGCUGAGACGCGAAAGCGUGGGGAGCGAACAGG
RNAcentral lists this ribosomal RNA (253 nucleotides) under uncultured bacterium. RNAcentral describes it as "partial 16S ribosomal RNA". It matches the Rfam family "Bacterial small subunit ribosomal RNA", at positions 524 to 776 of the family's 1533-position model. The record is from RNAcentral.